Molecule: ribosomal RNA, 233 nt
Filed under: uncultured bacterium
Lineage: Bacteria
Description: partial 16S ribosomal RNA
Rfam family: Bacterial small subunit ribosomal RNA
Source: RNAcentral
CGGCACGGGUGAGUAAUACAUCGGAACGUGUCUUCUAGUGGGGGAUAACUGCCCGAAAGGGCAGCUAAUACCGCAUGAGACCUGAGGGUGAAAGCGGGGGAUCGCAAGACCUCGCGCUGGAAGAGCGGCCGAUGUCCGAUUAGCUAGUUGGUGAGGUAAAGGCCCACCAAGGCGACGAUCGGUAGCCGGACUGAGAGGUUGAACGGCCACAUUGGGACUGAGACACGGCCCAG